Molecule: long non-coding RNA, 2655 nt
Organism: Saccostrea echinata
Lineage: Eukaryota; Metazoa; Mollusca; Bivalvia; Ostreida; Ostreidae
Exons: 4
Source: RefSeq, a predicted model, not a curated record
AACUGAUCACUGGUUGCAUAUUUUCGUCAAAAAUACCAGAAAAUCCGAUGAGACCCGCUCAACUUAAUUUGAAAUGAUUGGCUAUUCAACCGAAUACACAGUGCCAUAUUUGGGUUACUAUUAAAAGUAGAUCGUUCUUUUUGUAUUCGAGAAGACUUGGAUGAAGAGGAUUACACAAUACUGAGGUGGAAACAUCUGUAUAAUACGAUAAUAUAUAAUUCAGUAUUUUAAAGUAAAGGUUGUCAAAUGAACGGGACAUAUUACUGAUAUUACCUCUUAUAAACAAAACUAAUAAGCGUAUGACUUAUUCAGGGCACUUGCAAUGUAUGGGAACCAGUCUACAAGGCUACAAAAUUCCGCCAAGAAUAAACAAAGACUGAAAGAGAUUGCGGGAUGUUGUUUACGUGUGUCACUCGACACUGACUGCAAGAAACAAAGAGUGGAGAACUAAUGCAUGGUGCUAAGUAUGGAGAGGUCUCUUGUGGAUUGGUUGUGCCAGAGACAAAUGUACAUUAUUUCCAUGUUGGGUCAGAAGUCUCGGUACACUUUGGGUGAGUGGCAGUUGGGAAGAUGGAUGACCUUCAGAUAGUUUGAGAUGAAGAAGUUUUUUUCAAAUGAUUGAAAGUGAUCAUCACAGAAUCAACUCCAUUUUGAAGAUAAAUUACAAGCAAGUCAGCACUUCUUUUGUCCAACACCUGAGAGAUCUGAGUACCCAGCCUACUGUUGAAUUAAUUAGUGACCAAGAAAAGAUGACAGAGAGGGGAAUCAAAUGUGGAUGCCAUCUUGAUCAAGAAUAUAUACACUGACUAGAAAAUAUCUGAAAAUAUAUAGAUGAACAUUCAAGCAUUUAUAAUAAUGAAAGUUAUUCAGCAAGAGAGUUUUUGCACAAGUUUAAUUUUCAGUAAAAUUAUGUAUAUUGUGCACUGAGGAACUUGGUAUGUAACUCAUUAUGAUUAUCCAUUUCUUUAGAGGAUUUAUUUGGAGUAUACUUAAAUAAUCAUUAUCUUCUAGAAAAGACAACACAAAACUUUUCUCUCUGUGUGAAACAUGACACGUUUGCAUACACUCCAGCAUUUACCACAACCACAGUUACAUAUUUUCCAGGGCGUGUGAAGUCGAGCACAUACAUGAAAAUGUGUGAAGCUGGACACAUAUGCAAACACACAAGCAUCUAUCACAACCAAUUACAUAUUUUCCAAGGUGUGUGAAGUCGAGCACAUACAUGAAAAUGUGUGAAGCUGGACACAUAUGCAAACACACAAGCAUCUAUCACAACCAAUUACAUAUUUUCCAAGGCGUGUGAAGUCGAGCACAUACAUGAAAAUGUGUGAAGCUGGACACAUAUGCAAACACACAAGCAUCUAUCACAACCAAAUACAUAUUUUCCAGGGCGUGUGAAGUCGAGCACAUACAUGAAAAUGUGUGAAGCUGGACACAUAUGCAAACACACAAGCAUCUAUCACAACCAAUUACAUAUUUUCCAAGGCGUGUGAAGUCGAGCACAUACAUGAAAAUGUGUGAAGCUGGACACAUAUGCAAACACACAAGCAUCUAUCACAACCAAUUACAUAUUUUCCAAGGCGUGUGAAGUCGAGCACAUAUGUGAAAAUGUGUGAAGCUGGACACAUAUGCAAACACACAAGCAUCUAUCACAACCAAUUACAUAUUUUCCAAGGCGUGUGAAGUCGAGCACAUACAUGAAAAUGUGUGAAGCUGGACACAUAUGCAAACACACAAGCAUCUAUCACAACCAAUUACAUAUUUUCCAGGGCAUGUGAAGUCGAGCACAUACGUGAAAAUGUGUGAAGCUGGACACAUAUGCAAACACACAAGCAUCUAUCACAACCAAUUACAUAUUUUCCAAGGCGUGUGAAGUCGAGCACAUACAUGAAAAUGUGUGAAGCUGGACACAUAUGCAAACACUCAAGCAUCUAUCACAACCAAUUACAUAUUUUCCAGGGCAUGUGAAGUCGAGCACAUACGUGAAAAUGUGUGAAGCUGGACACAUAUGCAAACACACAAGCAUCUAUCACAACCAAUUACAUAUUUUCCAAGGCGUGUGAAGUCGAGCACAUACAUGAAAAUGUGUGAAGCUGGACACAUAUGCAAACACUCAAGCAUCUACCACUAGUUACAUAUUUUCCAAGGCGUGUGAAGAUGAACACGUAUGCAAACAUAAUCUCCUACCACAGACACAAUACACGUAACAUUUAGUCCAAGUAUAAAGUCAAGCUCAAACAGGCUCACUGCGUCAAGCUGGACACACGCAUUUACUUAUUCAUCUUGCAAAACUACAUCUGAACCUAUAUUCUAAUAGGCGUUUAAGCAAUUUUGUUUAUUUUGUGAAUAUGUAAAUUGCACCAUUAUGCUUACAAGAUGUCAACAUUAUUAACCUGUACAUAAAUACUCAUUAGAUAGCCUUUAAUAGUUUAAGCUGGAAAUGCUAGUACUUUGCCUGAUUUAUGUUGUGUAGUUACUCGUCAGUGAUCUUGAGUAAUAACUGAGUAUGGCAUUUUUAGUUCCAUUUAAACUGCAAAGUUUUAACACAUGUACAUCCACCAUAAAGGAUAAAUAAUAUUGUAUUGUAUUUUAACCUUUUUAAUUUUAUUCUUUGUCAUUUUAUUGCCUGUUCAAGUAAAAGAUGUAAUCUUGUAA